CGUAGGGUGCGAGCGUUAAUCGGAAUUACUGGGCGUAAAGCGUGCGCAGGCGGUUUAGUAAGACAGGCGUGAAAUCCCCGGGCUCAACCUGGGAACUGCGCUUGUGACUGCUAAGCUAGAGUACGGCAGAGGGGGUGGAAGUUCCACGUGUAGCAGUGAAAUGCGUAGAGAUGUGGAGGAACACCAAUGGCGAAGGCAGCCCCCUCGGGUCGAUACUGACGCUCAUGCACGAAAGCGUGGGUAGCAAACAGGAUUAGAUACCCUGGUAGUCCACGCCCUAAACGAUGUCAACUAGGUGUUGGGAGGGUAAAACCUUUUAGUACCGGAGCUAACGCGUGAAGUUGACCGCCUGGGGAGUACGCCGCAAGGUUA
Molecule: ribosomal RNA, 372 nt
Filed under: uncultured organism
Description: bacterial SSU rRNA
Rfam family: Bacterial small subunit ribosomal RNA
Source: RNAcentral